RNAcentral lists this ribosomal RNA (1947 nucleotides) under human gut metagenome. Its description in RNAcentral is "bacterial LSU rRNA". It matches the Rfam family "Bacterial large subunit ribosomal RNA", at positions 1 to 1977 of the family's 2925-position model. The record is from RNAcentral.
GAAAGUAAGCAAGGGCGUACGGGGGAUGCCUAGGCUCUUGGAGGCGAAGAAGGACGUGUUAAGCUGCGAAAAGCUGCGGGGAUUUGCAAAAAAGACUUGAUCCGCAGAUGUCCGAAUGGGGCAACCCGGCAGGUCGGAGACCUGUCACACCGGCAACGGUGAGCAAACCCUAUGAACUGAAACAUCUUAGUAAUAGGAGGAGGAGAAAGAAACAUCGAUUUCCCGAGUAGUGGCGAGCGAAAAGGAAAGAGCCCAAACCGGCGUUGUUACGGCAAUGCCGGGGUUAUAGGACUGCGAUAUCUUAAUACCAACGAACGAGAAAUGACUGGAAAGUCGUACCGUAGAGGGUGAAAGUCCCGUAUUGGUAAGUUCGGUAAGCGGUAGCAGUAUCCUGAGUAUGGCGGGACACGAGGAAUCCUGUCAGAAUUUGCGGGGACCACCCCGUAAGGCUAAAUACUCCCAAGAGACCGAUAGUGGACCAGUACCGUGAGGGAAAGGUGAAAAGUACCCCGAACAGGGGAGUGAAAAAGAACCUGAAACCGUACGCUUACAACCUGUCGGAGCCGCUUCGUGCGGUGACGGCGUGCCUUUUGCAUAAUGAACCUACGAGUUACUAAUCACUAGCGAGGUUAAGGACUAUAAAGUCCGGAGCCGAAGCGAAAGCGAGUCUGAAUAGGGCGUAUAGUUAGUGGUUGUAGACGCGAAACCUUGCGAUCUACCCAUGAGCAGGAUGAAGGUUGGGUAAAACCAACUGGAGGUCCGCACCGGUAAACGUUGAAAAGUUUUCGGAUGACUUGUGGGUAGGGGUGAAAGGCUAAUCAAGCUGGGAAAUAGCUCGUACUCCCCGAAAUGCUUUUAGGAGCAGCGUUGUAAUAGUCUACUGGAGGUAGAGCUACUGAUUGGAUGCGGGGGCUUCACCGCCUACCAAAUCCUGACAAACUCCGAAUGCCAGUAGAAUGAUUUGCAGCAGUGAGCCGCUGGGUGCUAAUGUCCGGCGACUAAAGAGGAACAACUCAGACCAUCAGCUAAGGCCCCCAAACAUACACUAAGUUGAACUAACGAUGUGCGACUGCAGCGACAGCUAGGAUGUUAGCUUGGAAGCAGCUAUUCAUUUAAAGAGUGCGUAACAGCUCACUAGUCGAGCGGUUGUGCGUGGAUAAUAACCGGGCAUCAAGUGUAUUGCCGAAGCUAUGGACUCUACGGAGUGGUAGGGGAGCAUUCCAUCGACGUCGAAGCCGAUUCGUGAGGAUCGGUGGAGUUUAUGGAAAAGCAAAUGUAGGUAUAAGUAACGAUAAGGCGGGAGAGUAACCCGCCCACCGCAAGACCAAGGUUUCCUGAUCAACGUUAAUCGGAUCAGGGUCAGUCGGGGCCUAAGGGUAAGCCGCAUGGUGAUCUCGAUGGACAAUCGGUUAAUAUUCCGAUACUGAUAUGAACUGCGACGGAGGGACGGAGAAGCGUAAGCUACGCCAACAGACGGAAUUGUUGGUUAAAGGGUGUAGGUAUAUGAUUCGGUUAAUAGCUGAUUCAUGCUGAAACCUGACAGUACCGAGCGGCUACGGCCAAUCGGAUAGUUAGCCCAAGCAAGCUUCCGAGAAAAACUUCUAAGCUUCAGGUUCAUAUCACCCGUACCGUAAACCGACACAGGUGGUCGAGGAGAGUAUCCUCAGGUGCUUGAGUGAAUCACGGAUAAGGAACUAGGCAAAUUGACCCCGUAACUUCGGGAAAAGGGGUCCCUACGCAAGUAGGGCGCAGCGAAGAGGUCCAGGCAACUGUUUAACAAAAACAUAUGGCUCUGCUAAUUCGAGAGAAGAAGUAUAGGGCCUGACACCUGCCCGGUGCUGGAAGGUUAAGAGGGGAUGUCAGCGCAAGCGAAGCAUUGAAUCGAAGCCCCAGUAAACGGCGGCCGUAACUAUAACGGUCCUAAGGUAGCGAAAUUCCUUGUCGGGU